Molecule: ribosomal RNA, 253 nt
Filed under: uncultured bacterium
Lineage: Bacteria
Description: partial 16S ribosomal RNA
Rfam family: Bacterial small subunit ribosomal RNA
Source: RNAcentral
UACAGAGGUCCCAAGCGUUGUUCGGAUUCAUUGGGCGUAAAGGGUGUGUAGGUGGCGCCGUAAGUCGGGUGUGAAAUUUCGGAGCUUAACUCCGAAACUGCAUUCGAUACUGCGGUGCUUGAGGACUGGAGAGGAGACUAGAAUUCAUGGUGUAGCGGUGAAAUGCGUAGAGAUCAUGAGGAAGACCAGUGGCGAAGGCGGGUCUCUGGACAGUUCCUGACACUGAGACACGAAGGCCAGGGGAGCAAACGGG